UUAGUGCUUACCUCGUCCUCGUUGGCCAUGAGGCAGAAAUUGGCCUUCUCCUCUUGUUCCUCUUCCGAUGAUGAUGAUGACUCAUCAGAGUCAGUCCAAGUGGUGACAAGAGCUUUCUUCUUCUUGUGCUUGUUGACCUUCUUCAGCAAGGGAUAGUCGGCUCUGAAAUGACCGAGCUUUUUGCAUUCAUAGCAUCUGAUUUCCUCACUUUCCUUUUUCUUACCUUUAUCCUUAUUGAAAGAACUCGAAGGAAAUCUCUUCUUAUGGAAGGGCUUCUUCCUAUUGAUGAAUCUUCUGAAUUUUCACACAAGGAGAGCCUCUUCUUUAUCUUCCUCAUUGUCUUCUUCUUCACUACUGCUACUGCAAGAAUGAUCUUUGUUAGAAGAGGUAGACUUGAGGGCAAUUACCUUUUUCUUAUGAGAGGAUUCUUCUUCGCUGUAUU
This 442-nucleotide long non-coding RNA is filed under the name Phoenix dactylifera (date palm). RNAcentral's name for it is "long non-coding RNA (PDAC_LNC009329)". The record is from RNAcentral. Lineage: Eukaryota; Viridiplantae; Streptophyta; Magnoliopsida; Arecales; Arecaceae.